Molecule: non-coding RNA, 868 nt
Organism: Cherax quadricarinatus
Lineage: Eukaryota; Metazoa; Arthropoda; Malacostraca; Decapoda; Parastacidae
Source: RefSeq, a predicted model, not a curated record
AAAAAACAUUAAUAAUGUAACUUUCUAACAGGAUGUGUGUCCUACCAAGAGCUGAAGGAGAGUCUAGGGUUGGUGUUCAAAGCUGUGAUGUCUGGGGAGGUUCGUCCUGAGAUACAUGUCCGCAACAUCACACAGGUUGGCAGUCUGUCACGUAAUUUGAUGCAAGGCCAUGAAGCAUUUCCUAACCUAUCAGGUCUUGUUCCCCUCCAAAUGCUUAUUGAGAUGGGAUGUGAGAAAAUAAAGAGAGACUAUAUUAGUAUCUUUCAAGUUCAUGAACUAGCUACUGGUGAGCAGCUAUCAUGGUUUGUGAACAACAGUGAGGCCUCGCCAGAGAUGAUAAUUGUACAGUUGGAAAGACUUCAUGUUGCCUUACAAGUUGUAGUGAGUCUUCGUACCUACCUUCGUCUGCCACCAGCAUCAUUAACGCAGUUCACAGCUCAGGUGCUGAAUCAACUAAGGGAAGAAGAGCCAAAAUCAGCAUACUCAUUCUCCUUCAGACUUGAAACAUUGACUGUUCAUCAGUUACUCAACAGCAUGAAGGUUGAUACUUGGGAGUUGAACCUCUGUAGCAGAAAAGGAAAUUUUACCAAGACACUUGUAUGCCAUAUCUCCCAUCAUCCCCUUAUCCAGAUUCCUUCCACUGAUUCUGCCUGUUGAAAAGUGGCUACGACGGCUUUUCAAGACCUCGCCUGCAGAGGCGGCUGUGUAGGCAAAAGCUGUAUCAAGAACUCGAGAUGAUGGAAAAUACGUGUGUAGAUGACAAGAGUGAAGACCGCUACUACUGUUGCUUCAUCAAUUCUGCCACAGAUAAACGCUUUCCAUAACAGAAUAUAAUUUAUGUUGGAAAAAAAUAUAUGAGUACCUUUGA